Molecule: ribosomal RNA, 253 nt
Filed under: uncultured bacterium
Lineage: Bacteria
Description: partial 16S ribosomal RNA
Rfam family: Bacterial small subunit ribosomal RNA
Source: RNAcentral
UACGAAGGGGGCUAGCGUUGCUCGGAAUCACUGGGCGUAAAGGGGGCGUAGGCGGUUCUUUAAGUCAGGGGUGAAAUCCUGGAGCUCAACUCCAGAACUGCCUUUGAUACUGAGGAUCUUGAGUUCGGGAGAGGUGAGUGGAACUGCGAGUGUAGAGGUGAAAUUCGUAGAUAUUCGCAAGAACACCAGUGGCGAAGGCGGCUCACUGGCCCGAUACUGACGCUGAGGCACGAAAGCGUGGGGAGCAAACAGG